Molecule: long non-coding RNA, 608 nt
Filed under: Ananas comosus (pineapple)
Lineage: Eukaryota; Viridiplantae; Streptophyta; Magnoliopsida; Poales; Bromeliaceae
Description: long non-coding RNA (ACOM_LNC012489)
Source: RNAcentral
CAAGAGGUGUCACCAACUGUCUUUAGUGCAAAUGUCAAAGGAUUUAGUAGUUGAUACUCGGGAUCUCAAGUUUGAAACUUAAUUGCUUCACAUUUUUAGCUAAAUUUAUUUCUAAACAAAUAAACGAAGCGGAGGUGGGCAACAGAGGGCUCGGGCCGAUAGACCCAUGGUACGGAUCUGACCCAUUAAAACGAAUCCGUUAAGAAAUUUUUUUCUCCUCUUUUGCCCUAAACAUGAUGAAGCGUAUUGUAAUCUCCAAAACUUCGUAUUCUUUUUCUCAUAGUGAAGUUCUCUCCUCAGCUCAUGAUUUUUUCCUUGUAAAUGAUUUUCACGUAAAUCUGUGUGUUAAUUUUAUUUUCUGUUUGUGGUUUGUGGUCUGUCUACUUUAUGUUCUUAUUUUUAUUUCUGUUUGUUUGUUCGUUGCAACAAUUUCUAGUAACAAGUUUUUUUUUUUUUUUUGAAGCAUGUUUGAAGUUAAUCAUUGUUAUUGGCGCUAUAAUGUUAUCUUAUGUGUUGUUGAUAUAUUGGCAACUUUGUGUGAUAUAUCGAGCUGCAUGUAUAGUCCAUUGCAAUCCUUUAUGUCAUAAUUGUCAACAUACCAAUAACAU